This 430-nucleotide ribosomal RNA is filed under the name uncultured bacterium. Its description in RNAcentral is "bacterial SSU rRNA". It matches the Rfam family "Bacterial small subunit ribosomal RNA", at positions 29 to 501 of the family's 1533-position model. The record is from RNAcentral.
AACGAACGCUGGCGGCAGGCCUAACACAUGCAAGUCGAACGCUCGUAGCAAUACGAGAGUGGCAGACGGGUGAGUAACACGUGGGAACCUUCCCUAUGGUUCGGAAUAGCUCAGGGAAACUUGAGGUAAUACCGGAUAAGCCCUUCGGGGGAAAGAUUUAUCGCCAUUGGAUGGGCCCGCGUCGGAUUAGCUAGUUGGUGAGGUAACGGCUCACCAAGGCGACGAUCCGUAGCUGGUCUGAGAGGAUGAUCAGCCACACUGGGACUGAGACACGGCCCAGACUCCUACGGGAGGCAGCAGUGGGGAAUAUUGGACAAUGGGCGCAAGCCUGAUCCAGCCAUGCCGCGUGAGUGACGAAGGUCUUCGGAUUGUAAAGCUCUUUUGGCGGGGACGAUAAAUGACGGUACCCGCAGAAUAAGCCCCGGCUAAC